AUAUCAAUAAGCGGAGGAAAAGAAACCAACAGGGAUUGCCCCAGUAACGGCGAGUGAAGCGGCAACAGCUCAAAUUUGAAAUCUGGCCCUCCCGGGGUCCGAGUUGUAAUUUGCAGAGGAAGCUUCGGCGUCGGCCCCGGGUCAAGUCCCCUGGGACGGGGCGCCCCGGAGGGUGAGAGCCCCGUACUCACCCGGGUGUGCUUCGCCGUGUGAAGCUCCUUCGACGAGUCGAGUUGUUUGGGAAUGCAGCUCCAAGCGGGAGGUAUAUUUCUUCUAAAGCUAAAUACCGGCCAGAGACCGAUAGCGCACAAGUAGAGUGAUCGAAAGAUGAAAAGCACUUUGAAAAGAGAGUUAAAAAGCACGUGAAAUUGUUGAAAGGGAAGCUCUUGCCGCCAGACUUGCCGCGGUUGCUCAGCCGCCCCCCGGGGCGGCGUACUCUUCCGUCGGCAGGCCAGCGUCGGCUCGGGCGGCCGGAUAAAGGCCCCGGGAAUGUAGCACCUCUUGGGGUGUGUUAUAGCCCGGGGUGUAACGCGGUCAGCCCGGUCCGAGGCACGCGUUCGCGAGGACGCUGGCGUAAUGGUUGCAAGCGACCCGUCUUGAAACACGGACCAAGGAGUCUAACAUCUGUGCGAGUGUUUGGGUCUCACACCCAUGCGCGCAAUAAAAGUGAACGGAGGUGGGAACCCCCCCCCUCGAGGGGCGCACCAUCGACCGAUCCUGAUGUCUUCGGAUGGAUUCGAGUAAGAGCAUAGCUGUUGGGACCCGAAAGAUGGUGAACUAUUCCCGGAUAGGGUGAAGCCAGAGGAAACUCUGGUGGAGGCUCGCAGCGGUUCUGACGUGCAAAUCGAUCGUCAAAUCUAGGAAUAGGGGCGAAAGACUAAUCGAACCAU
This 890-nucleotide ribosomal RNA is filed under the name Roccella verruculosa. RNAcentral describes it as "LSU rRNA". It matches the Rfam family "Eukaryotic large subunit ribosomal RNA", at positions 40 to 943 of the family's 3401-position model. The record is from RNAcentral. Lineage: Eukaryota; Fungi; Ascomycota; Arthoniomycetes; Arthoniales; Roccellaceae.